UGAGGAAUAUUGGUCAAUGGGCGGGAGCCUGAACCAGCCAAGCCGCGUGAGGGAUGAAGGCCCUAUGGGUCGUAAACCUCUUUUGUCAGGGAACAAAAGCGAGUAUGUAUACUAGUCUGAGUGUACCUGAAGAAAAACGCAUCGGCUAACUCCGUGCCAGCAGCCGCGGUAAUACGGAGAAUGCGAGCGUUAUCCGGAUUUAUUGGGUUUAAAGGGUGCGUAGGCGGCGAUGCAAGUCAGCGGUAAAAGCCCGGGGCUCAACCCCGGCGAGCCGUUGAAACUGCAGUGCUAGAGAAGGCGAGAGGUACGCGGAAUGCGCAGUGUAGCGGUGAAAUGCUUAGAUAUUGCGCAGAACUCCGAUUGCGAAGGCAGCGUACUGGCGCCUGACUGACGCUGAGGCACGAAAGCGUGGGGAUCGAACAGGAUUAGAUACC
Molecule: ribosomal RNA, 434 nt
Filed under: uncultured bacterium
Lineage: Bacteria
Description: bacterial SSU rRNA
Rfam family: Bacterial small subunit ribosomal RNA
Source: RNAcentral